RNAcentral lists this long non-coding RNA (4386 nucleotides) under Androctonus crassicauda. Lineage: Eukaryota; Metazoa; Arthropoda; Arachnida; Scorpiones; Buthidae. The record is from RNAcentral.
UAUUAAUGAAUAAUCGUAAUUGAAUUUUUUUUGUGGAUUAAAACCUAAUAUUUUUGAUAUUUGGCAAGUCAAAUGAGAAAAAUAAAAAUCAAGUGUGAUUACUUUCGGCACAAAAGACUGAAAUAACAAUAACGGAGAAAGUCUUGUUGGAUAUACUAUAAGGAGAUAAAGCUGUCGCUUAUUACGUUUUAUAAGCCCGCUUUUGAAAGGAAUCUAUCUCCUGGCAGUAGUUAAUUCGAGGUAUUCUUUACUAAAAUCGUAAGAGUCGAAGUAAAGAUCUUACGUAGAGCGGAUAAUUUUGAGAAGUAAGUAGCGAUGGGCAAUGAUAAUCAAGAAAAUAUCCAAGGGUGAGACAGGUGUUGUUUCACUUUCCAGAAUCGACAUCGCUGUAUCUUCCAGGGUCGGGCGCUGUUUAUCCGGUGGGUCCGGAGGAAGAUUGGACGGAUUCCAUCUUCAGUUGGCUGAUGCAACGGGUGUCAGUGGCGAGGAAAAAAGAGAAGAACGGGAAUGGAGGAGCUUGUGUCUGUGCGGAAAAAGAGAGGCGCCGAAAUAGAAAAUAAGUAUUUAUAUCCGCAGUGGAAGAGCGGGAGCGAGACGCCCAUCUUCCCGCUGCCUCGACGUCCACCUUCGGCGGCUGCACCGGCCGCCGCGCCCUCUAUUACCAGUGCCUCACCCCUUAGUUGGUACAUGGUCGACGCCGUGGUGGAGUAGCAGUGUGAUCACGACUGCGCCGCUUUACCGGCCACACACAGCUUGGUUUCCCGGAUCGCGCGCGAUCAAAGGUCUUACGUACAUUUAUCGGACCGUCGGAAUCGCUGUUCUCCUCUUUGCGGCAGUGGCCCUUACCAGAAGAUGUGAGGAUCCUAAUCGCCGGUGGCGGUGGCGCCGUUGUCUGGCGUGAACGGAUGCUGCCCAGCCAUCACGUGCCCUGGAACUGUGUGGGUGGAUGCGCGGAGGUCGGAGGGGUUUGACCUCCGUCAGCUCGACCAGCCAUGGCAGCCGUGGGAAUAUGGUCUCAAGCCGGAGCCUCCGGUGCCUCCGACAGUCAGAUUCCUCACGACUACUUACACGAAUGCCAUUAUCUGUAAGUGACCUUUAUCUUUUCUAUCCUAGAUUAAAUACGUCUUUCCGACCUUUGGGGGAAAGAAUAAACGGCAGGCAACAGGUGGUGGAGACGCUCUUUGAUCUAGAAGAAAAUUACGAUGGCGCUGUACGAAUUAAUUUUCGUCUGUAACGGAAUCCGGGAGAAAGCCAUGGACGAAAAAAAUUUUUUUCCUCCAAAGGAUUCGAAUCCGAAAUAGCGGUUGCGGAGCGCAACCGCUCUGGAAGGCCGGGACUGUGUCGGGGAGAAGGUUAUUAAUAGCCUGGAUUCUACCGACCGACAACAGGUGUGCCGCGGAUCGAUCGGCGGCUUUGUUGCAUCUGCACCGCGCGACACCAGAGUUUUAACUCCAGUUUCUAGCAACCCGGCCGCAGUCCGGCGCGUAAAUUAAGUCCGCGGAGGCGGUGUUCGUUACCGAUUGGUAUCCGGAAAACUCCCAACAGUAGCUCUUUUUCAUCUCCAUUCUCUCGGCUCAGUUCUUCUACAUGACUGAGAAGGGAAUCGUCUAUCAUUUCUCCUUUGCCAACUGAUAGAAAUGUCUUCCAGGAUAAUUAUUUUCAUUUCUUUAUUAGCAAAAAUCUCUUUUCUCAAAACAUAGUUUGAAAUGUUUACGAUUCUUGCUGGCCAUCGAUUUUUCGGGCCAGUUUAUAUACUAUCCAUUAUUUAAGUCGACAAUAAAUAAUUCUUGAGUGAGACACUUUUAACUCCUGUUUACAAAAACAGAGAAAUAGAAAUCCGGAAAAAUCUUCAUUAGUUUGAACGGUUCGGUGAUGUUAAACAUCUCAGCAGCGAUAAUUAUUUCCUGGAUAAAAUCCUCAAUCAGAAGUUCCAUUUUUCUUCCGCUCGAUGUUUAUUAUUUCUCCGCUUUUGUUCCUUGGGUAUCGAAAACCCGUUAUCCAUUUUAUGUUCGAGAAAAUUGUUCUCCAGAGGGAUUUCUCCUUUGACCUACCGUUAAUUCGGAUCCAGAUAAACGGGAUGUGGGAAAAGAAGUGACUCCAUCUAUCGGCAGACGAGUCAAUUAAAACCGGUCUGAUAAGGCAGUUAGGGACCGACCCAGUCGGAAAAUCUAACUGUAUAUAAACAACAAAUAAAUAGACAGUCUCUACACCGUGCCGACAUGGAUUUGACCAAAAUCGUCAUAGCAACCGUCCGGGUAAAUUCCGGGUGCGCCUUGCGCACGGAUGUAGGUCUUGACUGGAUUCGUCGGUGGAAGAUCGGUCAUCAUUCAAAAACAAGCCACCUAGGAGGAAGAUUAUUUUACUCGUCAUCCAGCCAACUGACAAAGGACGCAGUCCGAGCUGGAUUGGAAUAGGUCGAUCCGUAAAGUCGCACGUUUCACCCCUUGGCUUUUUGUUAUUUUUGGUUAUGAUGCUGCUGGAAAUCUUUUAUCGGGGCUCGGCCUCCUUCCAAUCGGAAACACCCUCUUUCCGCUCCCGACGUCACUAGUGCGUCAGAAUGACGUCAACGUCGUCUUGCGGAGAAGGCUAGGAUGCGUUCACUGUAACCCGAGGGGUAGCACCGAGAGCUCGAUCUUCUGCUCGCCAUUUUUACUUUUUUAAUCCCCAUUGUCGGCGUAUAUCGUAUCCUGUUCCGGUUAGGGGACGUGACGUUGACUAACUGUCGUCCAAGCUUAAAAAUAAACAAGAGGAUAUCCAUUCAGUCAACUGAUUUGCUAAAUUCCAUAAGUUACUCGAUUAAUGCCCACGCGCGUGGCAUCGAAUGCGUUUAUUUUCGAUGCGGCAUUAUCUCGUAUGUGGUAGAUGCGUGAGCGAAGUGCGUCUGUUGUAUAUCGGUGCGUGCCUGUGCUAUGUCAAAUCACUUAGUAGAGAUGCGGCCACUCUUUAGCGGUUUGAGCCAUUUAUCGAAAAUAAAGAAGGAUUUUUAGCCAUUUAAAGGGCGCCAUUUUGCGAUCGAUAAGGAUUGUGGCAGUUAGAGUUAGAAAUCAUCUAAAGGGGAAAACAGAUUAAAAAAUGAAGUAAUGGGAGUGAAGUCUUUGUCGACUAACUUUCUAGAGAGAGGAAAAAAAAAAGGAAUCGAUUAUGAUCCAUGCAAAAUCUUCUCGAAUACAGUGGCACGUUUACCAUUAGACGUAAUAGCAGCGCUCUUAGCACCCCAAAUUUUUUCAGGGGUCCGAAAAAUUGAAAAUUUUUAACACUAAAUUAGAUGUAUAAUUCAAAAUUGGAGAAAUCUCUAGUGCAUAGGGGUCUCGAGAGAUAUGGCACUACUGGCUCGAAUGCGAUAAUAAGAUUAAUUUGAGCUGACAGGCGAAAAGUUUACCAACCGUUAUAUAUUUAUUUUUUGACGAUUAUAUAUAUAUAUAUUCAAAUACUAUCGUUUAAGAUCUUCCUUUAAAAUGUUGGAAUACGAUAAUUUGAUCUUCCCCUUCCUUGCCCAUUCUUAAAUUUAGAUCCGUUCGAAUUUUUCCUGGAUUGUGUCAUGCAGAAAAAUAUGGAAUUCUCUGUCGCAUGUUGGUUAUUUUUCACGUAUAUCGAUUAAACGUAACCGAACAGUCACGAGAAACCUGAUUGUUAAACCAACCUAACAGAGAUAAAUACCCACGGGUCGACAGGAAAUGCGGUCCCGUUAGUCAAUAGGAAUCGCUCCUUUCUUGCUCUCUCUAACGACGUUAGGACGUUAUCGUUCCCGGUGAAUCGCUUGUAUAAAAAAAAAAAAAAACAGAUACAUAAAUAUUGCACAUAACGGAUCUCAGAGAUGCACAGUAUUAUUUUCUCUUAUACUUCUAUCGUUGUCGUUUGAUCAAUUGCAUUCAAAUAUGAUGACUAGCAAUUACUGUGGAAGUCCAGGAGUAGAUCUAGAAUAAACUGCUAGAGUAUAAUCACAUAAAUAAUAAACACUACAUACGUGUCAUAUAUUACUUUAAAAAUCGAUAAAUGCUACGAUAUAAUAAUCCUUUUAUGCAUUUUUGUAACAGUUAAUAAAUAUUGAUAAUUAAUACUGUUUUGUAACUACAGUAUACUCCCGAUCAUCCGUGAUUGGGUUAACCGCGGUUAAUCUGCCACUCGGAAGUGAUGUAAAAGAUGCAAUACCUUAAAGAUUUUUUAAUGCCAUCCGGAUUUGUUUGUUACAUCUUAGGUCAGUGGCUUCCAAACUUUGUGUCUGCCUCCUUUUUUUUUUUCCAUUAAAAAAUUCGGUAGACCCCUCAUUUUUGUAGAAGUCUGAUUUUAUAAAUACAUUCUACUUAUAAUUUAUUACUACAGAACAAUAUACCAUAUUUUGUAUAAAUAAAGUUCGUGUGCAUGAAAAAUGUCAUGAGUGGGCUGGUU